RNAcentral lists this ribosomal RNA (254 nucleotides) under uncultured bacterium. RNAcentral's name for it is "partial 16S ribosomal RNA". It matches the Rfam family "Bacterial small subunit ribosomal RNA", at positions 524 to 776 of the family's 1533-position model. The record is from RNAcentral.
GACGUAGGGUGCGAGCGUUGUCCGGAUUUAUUGGGCGUAAAGAGCUCGUAGGCGGUGUGUCGCGUCGGCCGUGAAAACCUGCAGCUUAACUGUGGGCUUGCGGUCGAUACGGGCAUCACUGGAGUUCGGCAGGGGAGACUGGAAUUCCUGGUGUAGCGGUGAAAUGCGCAGAUAUCAGGAGGAACACCGGUGGCGAAGGCGGGACUCUGGGCCGAUACUGACGCUGAGGAGCGAAAGCGUGGGGAGCAAACAGG